Molecule: long non-coding RNA, 1189 nt
Filed under: Junco hyemalis (dark-eyed junco)
Lineage: Eukaryota; Metazoa; Chordata; Aves; Passeriformes; Passerellidae
Description: lncRNA (ENSJHYG00000015762.1)
Source: RNAcentral
UUUUGUCGCCCCCUCUCAUCCCUUUCCUUCCUCAUUUUUGUCCUAUUUAUCGUUGAAAAGAAAAAGUAAAAUUAUAUUAAACUUAAAAAAAUGUGGUGGGGGAAAUUAAGAAUAAAUGGAAUAAAAAGGGAGAGGUGGGGUGAGAAAAGGGAAUGGAGGAGAAGAAGGAAUUAUGGAUUUUUUUGGUUCUUUUUGUCUCCCCCUCUCAUCCCUUUCCUUCCUCUUUUUUGUCCUAUUUAUCGUCGAAAAAAAAUUAAUUAAAAUUAUAUUAAAAAAAAGUGUUGGCGCGGAGGGCGGAAUGAUGGGGAAAAUUGAGGAUAAAUUGAAUAAAAAGGGAGAGGCGGGGUGAGAAAAGGGAAUGGAAAAGAGGGGGAAAAGUGGAAAAGUGAAAUUGGAGUGGAGGAGUGAGUGUGGAGAGGCGAAAAACAGGAAUUAAAAAAGUGAAAAAGUGAGAAAAGUUCAGGAAUUGAAAAGUGGGAAAGUGGCAAAAGUUCAGGAAUUAAAAAGUGCAAAAAGUUCAGGAAUUAAAAAGUUCAGGAAUGAAAAAGCGGAGGAAUGAAAAAAGCGGAAAAAAAAGAGAAAAAGUGCAGAAAUAAAGAAAAAAAUUAAAAGUGGAGGAGUGAAUGCGGAGGAAUGAAUGCGCAGAAUUUAAUUAAUUAAUGCGGAGAAAUGAGCGAGCGAAUGAGCGAGGAGGAAUUAAUUAAUUAAUGAAUUCAUUAAUUAAUGAGAGAGCUCCUCAAACCCCCACGGAUCCCCCCAAAAUCUCCCGCUCCGAACUCCCCGCACCCCAAAAAUGGGGAAAAUCGGGCAAAAAUCGGGGCAAAAAUGGGGCAAAAAUCGAGGCAAAAAUGGGCAAAAAUUGGGGCAAAAAUGGGGCAAAAAUUGGGGCCAAACUGGGCAGAAUUGGGGCCACCAAUUCCCCCCGAACCUCAGCGAUUCCCGGUGAGAAAAAUUCCGAUUUUCCUCGGGGAAAUGCCCUAAAAAAGCGCUUUUUCGGCCCAAAUUUGCCUUUUUGUCCUGGGCUCAUCACCGCAUCCACAAACUGUGACGGUUUCUGUGUGAAUAUUUUUCUCUGUGUUCGUGGUUCCUGUAUUUAUAUUUAUGUUUAGCGCUGUAAUGUUCGGAAAAAAAAAAAAAAGGGGGGUAAAAAAUUAAAAAAAAUAAAAUAAAAAAAAAUGAAUGGAGUUCA